Molecule: ribosomal RNA, 497 nt
Filed under: uncultured bacterium
Lineage: Bacteria
Description: partial 16S ribosomal RNA
Rfam family: Bacterial small subunit ribosomal RNA
Source: RNAcentral
GAUGAACGCUGGCGGCGUGCCUAAUACAUGCAAGUCGAGCGAACAGACGAGGAGCUUGCUCCUCUGACGUUAGCGGCGGACGGGUGAGUAACACGUGGAUAACCUACCUAUAAGACUGGGAUAACUUCGGGAAACCGGAGCUAAUACCGGAUAAUAUAUUGAACCGCAUGGUUCAAUAGUGAAAGACGGUUUUGCUGUCACUUAUAGAUGGAUCCGCGCCGCAUUAGCUAGUUGGUAAGGUAACGGCUUACCAAGGCAACGAUGCGUAGCCGACCUGAGAGGGUGAUCGGCCACACUGGAACUGAGGCACGGUCCAGACUCCUACGGGAGGCAGCAGUAGGGAAUCUUCCGCAAAGGGCGAAAGCUUGACGGGGCAACGCCGCGUGAGUGAUGAAGGUCUUCGGAUCGUAAAACUCUGUUAUUAGGGAAGAACAAAUGUGUAAGUAACUAUGCACGUCUUGACGGUACCUAAUCAGAAAGCCACGGCUAACUACGUG